Molecule: ribosomal RNA, 371 nt
Filed under: uncultured bacterium
Lineage: Bacteria
Description: bacterial SSU rRNA
Rfam family: Bacterial small subunit ribosomal RNA
Source: RNAcentral
GGGGGGAGCAAGCGUUGUUCGGAUUUACUGGGCGUAAAGGGCGCGUAGGCGGUCAGCACAAGUCAGUUGUGAAAUCUCCGAGCUUAACUCGGAAAGGUCAACUGAUACUGUGCGACUAGAGUGCGGAAGGGGCAACUGGAAUUCUUGGUGUAGCGGUGAAAUGCGUAGAUAUCAAGAGGAACACCUGCGGCGAAGGCGGGUUGCUGGGCCGACACUGACGCUGAAGUGCGAAAGCCGGGGGAGCGAACGGGAUUAGAUACCCCGGUAGUCCUGGCCUUAAACGAUGUCAACUAGCCGUUGGGAGCCUUGAGCUCUUAGUGGCGCAGCUAACGCAUUAAGUUGACCGCCUGGGGAGUACGGCCGCAAGGUUA